This 399-nucleotide ribosomal RNA is filed under the name uncultured bacterium. Its description in RNAcentral is "bacterial SSU rRNA". It matches the Rfam family "Bacterial small subunit ribosomal RNA", at positions 356 to 772 of the family's 1533-position model. The record is from RNAcentral.
AAGGAAUUUUCGUCAAUGGGGGCAACCCUGAACGAGCAACGCCGCGUGGAGGAUGACGGCCUUCGGGUUGUAAACUCCUUUUGCGGGGGAUGAUUGUGACCGUACCCCGCGAAUCAGGCUCGGCUACCUCUGUGCCAGCAGCCGCGGUAAGACAGAGGAGCCAAGCGUUGUCCGGAGUAACUGGGCGUAAAGCGCACGCAGGUGGUUUGGUGCGUGGGGUGUGAAAGCUCUCGGCUUAACUGAGAGAGGCCACCUCAUACGGCCAAGCUCGAGUCCUGCAGAGGUCCACGGAAUUGCCGGUGUAGUGGUGAAAUGCGUAGAGAUCGGCAGGAACACCCAGGGGGAAACCAGUGGACUGGGCAGGCACUGACACUGAGGUGCGAAAGCGUGGGGAGCGAA